UGGUUCUGGCAUNGAUGAAGAACGCAGCGAAAUGCGAUAAGUAAUGUGAAUUGCAGAAUUCAGUGAAUCAUCGAAUCUUUGAACGCACAUUGCGCCCAUUAGUAUUCUAGUGGGCAUGCCUAUUCGAGCGUCAUUACAACCCUUAAGCCCCUGUUGCUUAGCGUUGGGACUCUACGGCUUCGGGCGUAGUUCCUUAAAUUUAGUGGCGGAGUCACAGCACACUCUGAGCGUAGUAACAUACCUCGCUUCUGAGCUGCGGUGGCUGCUCGCCGUAAAACCCCCUAUACUUCUAGUGGUUGACCUCGGAUUAGGUAGGAAUACCCGCUGA
Molecule: unclassified non-coding RNA, 328 nt
Filed under: uncultured fungus
Lineage: Eukaryota; Fungi
Description: partial contains 5.8S ribosomal RNA and internal transcribed spacer 2
Rfam family: 5.8S ribosomal RNA (bases 1-133)
Source: RNAcentral